GCAAGUCGAGCGAGAAAGGUCUUCGGACUGAGUACAGCGGCGGACGGGUGAGUAACGCGUAGGAAUCUACCUGGUAGUGGGGGACAACUUGGGGAAACUCAAGCUAAUACCGCAUACGCCCUACGGGGGAAAGCGGGGGAUCUUCGGACCUCGCGCUAUCGGAUGAGCCUGCGUUGGAUUAGCUAGUUGGUGGGGUAAUGGCCUACCAAGGCGAUGAUUUGUAGCUGGUCUGAGAGGAUGAUC
RNAcentral lists this ribosomal RNA (243 nucleotides) under uncultured bacterium. RNAcentral's name for it is "partial 16S ribosomal RNA". It matches the Rfam family "Bacterial small subunit ribosomal RNA", at positions 57 to 305 of the family's 1533-position model. The record is from RNAcentral.